This 437-nucleotide RNase P RNA is filed under the name Deltaproteobacteria bacterium. RNAcentral's name for it is "RNase P RNA component class A". It matches the Rfam family "Bacterial RNase P class A". From Rfam's summary of the family: Ribonuclease P (RNase P) is a ubiquitous endoribonuclease, found in archaea, bacteria and eukarya as well as chloroplasts and mitochondria. Its best characterised activity is the generation of mature 5'-ends of tRNAs by cleaving the 5'-leader elements of precursor-tRNAs. Lineage: Bacteria; Pseudomonadati; Myxococcota; Myxococcia. The record is from RNAcentral.
CAAGAAUAACAGGUGAUCGCCGGUCACCAUAGUGACGGGAGGAAAGUCCGAGCUCCAUCGGGCAGGGUGCUGGAUAACGACCAGUCGGGGUGACCCGAAGGCAAGUGCAACAGAGAGUAGACCGCCACCUACGGGUCCGGUUUGGCUUCAGACCCAUCCAUUUGGUCGAGGUUUGGAGACAGUCGGGGUUCUUUUCGAAGAAUCGGUAAGGCUGAAAGGGUGCGGUAAGAGCGCACCGGCAUCUCUGGAGACAGAGGUGGCCAGGUAAACCCCAUCCGGAGCAAGGCCAAAUAGCGAGAUGUUUGAGGGUGCCCGCCUGAGAUCUCCGGGUUGGCUGCUUGAGUCUGUUGGUAACAGCAGACCUAGAUGAAUGAUCACCACUGUGGCGAGGGAGACCGAGCCAUAGAACAGGACUCGGCUUAUGGUGUUCUUGAGCC